AUACAUUAACGCCAAACCUGAUGUGAGUCAGGGACGGAAAGCCUACAGCUGUUUACUUUAGUCACUACAGGGCUGGGUUGCAAAA
RNAcentral lists this non-coding RNA (85 nucleotides) under Methylophaga sulfidovorans. RNAcentral describes it as "GEMM cis-regulatory element". It matches the Rfam family "c-di-GMP-I riboswitch aptamer". From Rfam's summary of the family: GEMM was predicted in a large-scale screen for bacterial structured RNA regulatory elements. Genes associated with GEMM are involved in a diverse array of functions, including chemotaxis regulation, signal transduction, secretion and chitin. Lineage: Bacteria; Pseudomonadati; Pseudomonadota; Gammaproteobacteria; Thiotrichales; Piscirickettsiaceae. The record is from RNAcentral.